This 425-nucleotide long non-coding RNA is filed under the name Physcomitrium patens. Its description in RNAcentral is "long non-coding RNA (PPAT_LNC010092)". Lineage: Eukaryota; Viridiplantae; Streptophyta; Bryopsida; Funariales; Funariaceae. The record is from RNAcentral.
AAAAGAGUAAUAGUAUGUCUUAAAUUAUCAUCUUAACUUCAAACGGCUAUAACUUCUUCAACUCAACUCUAAAUCCUCUAAUUUUUCUACAAAAAUUGUACCCCAAAUCCUUAAAUUUACAGUCCUAGCUUUUAAUUUCCAAAUGCCUUCUUUAAAGUCACCGAAACUCUUAUUAAGGUCGAGAGCAGCCUCUUCAAAGCCCAUUGGGCAUGGUAUUCGAUCAAUAGGGAUGAAGUUUCCUAUUCCUUGCCUUCAUCCGACCAUACCUUGCUUUCAUCCCUCCCAAUUAGCCUCCUUCUAGUUUAGAUUUUCAGCUUUAAGUGUCCACCUUCUCCUAGGGCUUCAUACUAAAUAUUUAAGUCAUAUAUAUAUAUUUUUAAUGUCAAAAUCAAAAGAAGUAAAGAAACAAAGUAAAGUUUCUUAUA